UCCAGACUCCUACGGGAGGCAGCAGUGGGGGAUAUUGCACAAUGGGGGGGGACCCUGAUGCAGCGACGCCGCGUGGGUGAAGGAGCGUUUCGGCGCGUAAAGCCCUAUCGGCAGGGAAGAAGGAGGACGGUACCUGACUAAGAAGCCCCGGCUAACUACGUGCCAGCAGCCGCGGUAAUACGUAGGGGGCAAGCGUUAUCCGGAUUUACUGGGUGUAAAGGGGGCGCAGACGGCUGUGCAAGCCAGAUGUGAAAGCCCGGGGCUCAACCCCGGGACUGCAUUUGGAACUGUGUGGCUGGAGUGUCGGAGAGGCAGGCGGAAUUCCUAGUGUAGCGGUGAAAUGCGUAGAUAUUAGGAGGAACACCAGUGGCGAAGGCGGCCUGCUGGACGAUGACUGACGUUGAGGCUCGAAAGCGUGGGGAGCAAACAGGAUUAGAUACCCUCGUAU
Molecule: ribosomal RNA, 448 nt
Filed under: uncultured bacterium
Lineage: Bacteria
Description: partial 16S ribosomal RNA
Rfam family: Bacterial small subunit ribosomal RNA
Source: RNAcentral